RNAcentral lists this ribosomal RNA (253 nucleotides) under uncultured bacterium. Its description in RNAcentral is "partial 16S ribosomal RNA". It matches the Rfam family "Bacterial small subunit ribosomal RNA", at positions 524 to 776 of the family's 1533-position model. The record is from RNAcentral.
UACGGGGGGUGCGAGCGUUGUCCGGAAUCACUGGGCGUAAAGGGCGCGUAGGUGGCCUGAUAGGGUGUGGUGAAAGUCCGGGGCUCAACCCCGGAUCGGCCGUGCCGACUGUUAGGCUAGAGUACUGUAGGGGCAGGCGGAAUUCCGGGUGUAGCGGUGGAAUGCGUAGAGAUCCGGGAGGAACGACGGUGCGAAGGCGGCCUGCUGGGCGAGUUACUGACACUGAGGCGCGACAGCGUGGGGAGCAAACAGG